This 252-nucleotide ribosomal RNA is filed under the name uncultured Bacteroidales bacterium. RNAcentral's name for it is "partial 16S ribosomal RNA". It matches the Rfam family "Bacterial small subunit ribosomal RNA", at positions 524 to 776 of the family's 1533-position model. The record is from RNAcentral. Lineage: Bacteria; Pseudomonadati; Bacteroidota; Bacteroidia; Bacteroidales.
UACGGAAGAUGCGAGCGUUAUCCGGAUUUAUUGGGUUUAAAGGGUGCGUAGGCGGACGCUUAAGUCAGCGGUAAAAUUUCGGGGCUCAACCCCGUCGUGCCGUUGAAACUGACGCCCUUGAGUGAGUGAGAAGUAAGCGGAAUGCGUGGUGUAGCGGUGAAAUGCUUAGAGAUCAUACAGAACACCGAUUGCGAAGGCAGCAUACCGGCGCCCAACUGACGCUGAAGCACGAAAGCGUGGGUAUCGAACAGG